This 475-nucleotide ribosomal RNA is filed under the name uncultured bacterium. Its description in RNAcentral is "bacterial SSU rRNA". It matches the Rfam family "Bacterial small subunit ribosomal RNA", at positions 1 to 466 of the family's 1533-position model. The record is from RNAcentral.
CCCUUAGAGUUUGAUCCUGGCUCAGGAUGAACGCUAGCUACAGGCUUAACACAUGCAAGUCGAGGGGCAUCAGUUUGGUUUGCUUGCAAACCAAAGCUGGCGACCGGCGCACGGGUGAGUAACACGUAUCCAACCUGCCUCAUACUCGGGGAUAGCCUUUCGAAAGAAAGAUUAAUAUCCGAUAGCAUAUAUUUCCCGCAUGGGUUUUAUAUUAAAGAAAUUCGGUAUGAGAUGGGGAUGCGUUCCAUUAGUUUGUUGGCGGGGUAACGGCCCACCAAGACUACGAUGGAUAGGGGUUCUGAGAGGAAGGUCCCCCACAUUGGAACUGAGACACGGUCCAAACUCCUACGGGAGGCAGCAGUGAGGAAUAUUGGUCAAUGGACGCGAGUCUGAACCAGCCAAGUAGCGUGAAGGAUGACUGCCCUAUGGGUUGUAAACUUCUUUUAUAUGGGAAUAAAGUGGUCCACGUGUGGAU